UGAGCAAUCUGCCCUUCUCAUCGGAAUAAGCGUUGGAAACGACGUCUAAUGCCGAAUACGACCUCCUUUCGCAUGAUCGGAGGUGGAAAGCUCCGGCGGAGAAGGAUGAGCUCGCGGCCUAUCAGCUAGUUGGUGGGGUAAUGGCUCACCAAGGCGACGACGGGUAGCUGGUCUGAGAGGAUGGCCAGCCACAUUGGGACUGAGACACGGCCCAGAUCCUACGGG
RNAcentral lists this ribosomal RNA (225 nucleotides) under uncultured bacterium. RNAcentral's name for it is "partial 16S ribosomal RNA". It matches the Rfam family "Bacterial small subunit ribosomal RNA", at positions 118 to 345 of the family's 1533-position model. The record is from RNAcentral.